UACGUAGGCUGCAAGCGUUGUCCGGAUUUAUUGGGUUUAAAGGGUGCGUAGGUGGCUGAUUAAGUCAUGGGUGAAAGCCCGCAGCUCAACUGUGGAAUUGCCUGUGAUACUGAUUAGCUUGAGUGCGGUUGAGGCAGCUGGAAGUGGUGGUGUAGCGGUGAAAUGCAUAGAUACCACCAGGAACACCGAUUGCGAAGGCAGGUUGCUAAGCCGUAACUGACACUGAGGCACGAAAGCGUGGGGAGAAAACAGG
RNAcentral lists this ribosomal RNA (253 nucleotides) under uncultured bacterium. RNAcentral describes it as "partial 16S ribosomal RNA". It matches the Rfam family "Bacterial small subunit ribosomal RNA", at positions 524 to 776 of the family's 1533-position model. The record is from RNAcentral.